AUCCAGCUGGCGAAUUCCAAAUAGGACGAAACGCGCAUCAAACUGGAU
This is a non-coding RNA of Schistosoma curassoni, 48 nucleotides long. The record is from Rfam. NCBI's taxonomy places the organism in Eukaryota, Metazoa, Platyhelminthes, Trematoda, Strigeidida, Schistosomatidae.